AGUGAACGCUGGCGGUAGGCCUAACACAUGCAAGUCGAGCGGAAGCACAGUAAGAGCUUGCUCUUACGGUUGGCGACUGGCGGAUGGGUGACGAAUACAUCGCAAUCUACUUUUUCUUGGGGGAUAACGUAGGGCAACUUACGCUACUACCGCAUACGACCUACGGGUGAAAGCAGUGGAUCUUCAGACCUUGCCUGAUUGUAUGAGCCGAUGUCGGAUUAGCUAGUUGGCGGGGUAAAGGCCCACCAAGGCGACGAUCCGUAGCUGGUCUGAGAGGAUGAUCAGCCACACUGGAACUGAGACACGGUCCAGACUCCUACGGGAGGCAGCAGUGGGGAAUAUUGGACAAUGGGCGAAAGCCUGAUCCAGCAAUGCCGCGUGGGUGAAGAAGGUCUUCGGAUUGUAAAGCCCUUUUAUUGGGGAAGAACAGCAGCAUGUUAAUACACCGCUGUUCUGACGGUACCCAAAGAAUAAGCACCGGCUAACUUCGUG
RNAcentral lists this ribosomal RNA (492 nucleotides) under uncultured bacterium. RNAcentral describes it as "partial 16S ribosomal RNA". It matches the Rfam family "Bacterial small subunit ribosomal RNA", at positions 29 to 507 of the family's 1533-position model. The record is from RNAcentral.